Molecule: long non-coding RNA, 315 nt
Filed under: Homo sapiens (human)
Lineage: Eukaryota; Metazoa; Chordata; Mammalia; Primates; Hominidae
Description: HSALNT0311852
Source: RNAcentral
CAGCAAAGAAGAAGGGGGUUGCAGGGUUUCAAUGCCACCUCAGCUCGGGGUGACGCUCUUCAAGAGUUGGCCCUGACUCUGGCUCUAGACCAAACCCUGGCUCCCAAUCUGACUGAGCCACUGACCAGGCCUCAGGCUGAACCCAGUGAGGCAUCUCAUAUGUGAACAUUUGUCUCAGCUCACGCCACACCCAUGGACACUGGCUACCUUUUCGGCAGUAGUAGUCUGGUGGAUGGCCAGCAGUGAAAGCAGGACGAGAACUUUGCUGCAGGUACGGACAGGCCUUGGGGGCUUCAUCGUGGCUCCAGUGUCUGC